This 465-nucleotide ribosomal RNA is filed under the name uncultured bacterium. Its description in RNAcentral is "partial 16S ribosomal RNA". It matches the Rfam family "Bacterial small subunit ribosomal RNA", at positions 28 to 507 of the family's 1533-position model. The record is from RNAcentral.
GACGAACGCUGGCGGCGUGCUUAACACAUGCAGGUCGAACGGAAAGGCCCCUUUUGGGGUACUCGAGUGGCGAACGGGUGAGUAACACGUGAGUAACCUGCCCUUGACUUCGGGAUAACUUCAUGAAACUGGGGCUAAUACCGGAUAGGAAUCCUUGCUGCAUGGUGGGGGUUGGAAAGCUUCGGCGGUUUUGGAUGGACUGGCGGCUUAUCUGCUUGUUGGUGGGGUAGUGGCUUACCAAGGCUUUGAUGGGUAGCCGGCCUGAGAGGGCGACCGGCCCAAUUGGGAAUGGGAUACGGCCCAGACUCCUAAGGGAGGCAGCGGUGGGGAAUAUUGCACAAUGGGCGGAAGCCUGAUGCAGCCAAGCCGCGUGCGGGAUGAAGGCCUUCGGGUUGUAAACCGCUUUCAGCAGGGGAGAAGCUUGUGGUGACGGUACCUGCAGAAGAAGCACCGGCUAACUACGUG